This 201-nucleotide long non-coding RNA is filed under the name Musa acuminata (dwarf banana). RNAcentral describes it as "long non-coding RNA (MACU_LNC010352)". Lineage: Eukaryota; Viridiplantae; Streptophyta; Magnoliopsida; Zingiberales; Musaceae. The record is from RNAcentral.
GGUGACCUCGUCGAUGGAGGAAGCCAAAAGUGGAGUAGGUCAAGAUUGACCGAACCACUCUAAAUCUCGGUUUGCAUUUACUUUGAGCAGUUUAUCUUUACUGCAAACCUCCUAAAUAGCAAAUGCCUUCUGCGCUUUUACGAACGAGUUUCUAAGUUCAGAGCUUUCCGAAUAUGCGUUUAGACGUAAAUCGACUUUUUC